CUCUGCCGGCCCCGCCACCCCCGGGCCGGGCGCCGCCAUCCCCGGCCGUGACUCGGCACAAACGGGGGCGGAUGCGAGGCGCGGCCCGAGGGGCCUAGUGCGCACCCCGCAGCCCCGCUCACCUGGAAGUGCUCCUGGAAACGUAUGGGAAGGAGCUGGAUCUGGAAACUGCUGCUUCUGCUAGAAGGACAUCUCCAGAGUCUGGAGGGAUGAAGCUGGUGUGAAGGCGAGUGGAAGCUUCAAAAGUGCAUGCACCCCAGCAAUAAUGUGUCUGUUCACCUUCUCUAUCAGCUGCUUCUGUUGUUCCCUGACCAUUUCUGCCAUUUCCCAAUUUACAAAUAAAAAAUGACCAGCAGACAGGUGAAAACUUCAACUUCUGAGGCACAGCCCUGUGAGAUUCCAAUGAUGAAUAUCUUGGCCCAAGGACAUGAAAAAGGAAAGGAUCCCAUCCUCAAAAGCAUCAGACCUAACAAACUAAUUCCUGGUAGAGUACCAAGCAACUUUGUUCAGCAUGGAAAACCCAGCUGGUCAAGUCCCACAGCUGCUUGACCACCGCGGCACCCAACCACAUCUCCUUCCUGAGCUGGAAGUGCCUGUUAGUGACACCACACUGCAGCAACCCUUGAAAGUGGCCUGCAAAGUGGCAGAUGGCGUACACAUUUUGCAAUGAAAUAUGCCAAAUUUAAACAGCCUUGCAUUGGGGGGGGGCGGGAGGGAAAAUCUUAAUACAUAUACUUUGAAGAUCUCCAGCAUCUUUCAAUGAUACUCUCAUCUUCAAAACAAGAAUCAGAAACUCCUCUUGUACAAUAAGCACUUUUAUUGAGUGAGUGUCUCAGCAUUCCACACACGUCCUAUUCAACACGAUACAUUGCUGAACUACAAUCUAAACUGGUCUUUAAUUAAAACAGAAAAAAAGAGAGACUUU
Molecule: long non-coding RNA, 925 nt
Organism: Alligator sinensis (Chinese alligator)
Lineage: Eukaryota; Metazoa; Chordata; Crocodylia; Alligatoridae
Exons: 3
Source: RefSeq, a predicted model, not a curated record